GGCGGACGGGUGAGUAACGCGUGGGAAUAUGCCCUUUGGUACGGAACAGUCCCGGGAAACUGGGUUUAAUACCGUAUGUGGUCCUUCGUAGUGGAUACGGGGGACGAAAGAUUUAUCGCCAAAGGAUUAGCCCGCGUUGGAUUAGGUAGUUGGUGGGGUAAUGGCCUACCAAGCCGACGAUCCAUAGCUGGUUUGAGAGGAUGAUCAGCCACACUGGGACUGAGACACGGCCCAGACUCCUACGGGAGGCAGCAGUGGGGAAUCUUAGACAAUGGGGGCAACCCUGAUCUAGCCAUGCCGCGUGAGUGAUGAAGGCCUUAGGGUUGUAAAGCUCUUUCAGCUGGGAAGAUAAUGACGGUACCAGCAGAAGAAGCCCCGGCUAACUCCGUGCCAGCAGCCGCGGUAAUACGGAGGGGGCUAGCGUUGUUCGGAAUUACUGGGCGUAAAGCGCAUGUAGGCGGACCAGAAAGUUGGGGGUGAAAUCCCGGGGCUCAACCCCGGAACGGCCUUCAAAACUAUUGGUCUGGAGUUCGAGAGAGGUGAGUGGAAUUCCGAGUGUAGAGGUGAAAUUCGUAGAUAUUCGGAGGAACACCAGUGGC
RNAcentral lists this ribosomal RNA (599 nucleotides) under Paracoccus oceanense. Its description in RNAcentral is "bacterial SSU rRNA". It matches the Rfam family "Bacterial small subunit ribosomal RNA", at positions 97 to 716 of the family's 1533-position model. The record is from RNAcentral. Lineage: Bacteria; Pseudomonadati; Pseudomonadota; Alphaproteobacteria; Rhodobacterales; Paracoccaceae.